GACGAAGGUGGCGAGCGUUGUUCGGAAUCACUGGGCAUAAAGCGCACGUAGGCGGCGACGUCAGUUGGGUGUGAAAUCCCUCGGCCCAACCGAGGAACUGCGCCCAGUACUGCGUUGCUUGAGGAUCCAAGGGGUGCAUGGAAUUCCCGGUGGAGCGGUGAAAUGCGUUGAUAUCGGGAGGAACUCCGGCGGCGAAAGCGGUGCACUGGUGGAUUACUGACGCUGAGGUGCGAAAGCCAGGGGAGCAAACGGG
This 253-nucleotide ribosomal RNA is filed under the name uncultured bacterium. Its description in RNAcentral is "partial 16S ribosomal RNA". It matches the Rfam family "Bacterial small subunit ribosomal RNA", at positions 524 to 776 of the family's 1533-position model. The record is from RNAcentral.